UACGGAAGGCAGCAGCGGGGAAUAUUGCACAAUGGGCGCAAGCCUGAUGCAGCCAUGCCGCGUGUAUGAAAAAGGCCUUCGGGUUGUAAAGUACUUUCAGUCGUGAGGAAGGUGUUAAGGUUAAUAACCUUAGCAAUUGACGUUAGCGACAGAAGAAGCACCGGCUAACUCCGUGCCAGCAGCCGCGGUAAUACGGAGGGUGCGAGCGUUAAUCGGAAUUACUGGGCGUAAAGGGCACGCAGGCGGUUAAUUAAGUUGGAUGUGAAUCCCCGGGCUUAACCUGGGAAUGGCAUUCAAGACUGGUUAGCUAGAGUCUUGUAGAGGGGGUAGAAUUCCAUGUGUAGCGGUGAAAUGCGUAGAGAUGUGGAGGAAUACCGGUGGCGAAGGCGGCCCCUGGACAAAGACUGACGCUCAUGUGCGAAAGCGUGGGGAGCAAAC
Molecule: ribosomal RNA, 438 nt
Filed under: uncultured bacterium
Lineage: Bacteria
Description: bacterial SSU rRNA
Rfam family: Bacterial small subunit ribosomal RNA
Source: RNAcentral